GGCUCGUUAGCUCAGCUGGUUAGAGCAACACACUGAUAAUGUGGAGGUCGUAGGUUCGAUCCCUACACGAGCCU
Molecule: non-coding RNA, 74 nt
Organism: Aromia moschata
Lineage: Eukaryota; Metazoa; Arthropoda; Insecta; Coleoptera; Cerambycidae
Source: the annotation of a GenBank genome assembly